UGCUCUGUGCCCCCGCCCCCUUUCUUUCUUUUUUUUCUUUUCUAGGACUACCCCUCCAUGGUCUGGAGCACAGUAAUUAUAGCAGUUGCAGUUGUUGAAUGCUUACUAAAUGCCAAGGGUCAUGCUGAUUGAUGGGCUUACAUUAUCUCAUUUCAUCCUUACCCCUAUUCCUAAGAUAGAUAGGUAUCAUCUCUGUUUUACAGGUAGGACACCAGAAACUUGGAAAGGGAAUGAAGGGGAGAAAGUGACAGAGCUGGGAUUUGAACCAGAACUCGAGACAUUUAGUAUGUGGCUAUGUUGACUCCUGGGACUUAAUAAUAACAACAAUAAUAAAAGCUAAUAUGUUUA
Molecule: long non-coding RNA, 348 nt
Organism: Phacochoerus africanus (Common warthog)
Lineage: Eukaryota; Metazoa; Chordata; Mammalia; Artiodactyla; Suidae
Exons: 2
Source: RefSeq, a predicted model, not a curated record